This is a long non-coding RNA of Gallus gallus (chicken), 1326 nucleotides long. The record is from Ensembl. Lineage: Eukaryota; Metazoa; Chordata; Aves; Galliformes; Phasianidae.
CUAACCACCACAUCCACGGCAGCGAUCCCUUAAGUGGUGGUGAUAUUAUUAUUUUAUUAUUGCCAGCCAGUGGCUUUAAAGGUGCAUUAUUUUAAUGCAUUAUUAAUUGUUUUCCCAGGGAGAGAAGGAAACUGGGGAUAGGGCUUAUUAUUAUUAAUAGCGAGGAGAUCACUCGCUCCUUUCGCGCACGACGAGGAGAGCGGUGGGAGGAGGCAGCGCCGGAGGGAGGCGGCAGCGGAGCGCACCCCGCUCUCAGGCUCGUUGCGCGGCCGCGGGAACCACCCGCGGGGGCCCGGCGCAGCCCUCGCCUCUCCCUCCCUGUGCCCCCACCCUCGCCCUGUUGCCCUAGCCUUCGGGCGGAAAGUUCCGCGGGCAGCGGCCAACCUCGUGCCUGCCCAAAGCAGCCCCUCGGCAUCCCCCCCAGCUCCAGCCCCAGCCCCAGUCAUAGCUCCGCGCGGGCGGCGUGUCUCCGCGGGCGCCGAAGUUGCGGCAGGGCCGGGGGGCCUCUGCGACUGCCAGCCAUCAAGUGGCUCGUUAAGGAAAUGCAGCUCCUUCGGGGCCUGUGUGGACUAGGGGCACAACCCGGCGCCUGACUGGCAGGAGGGAAAGCGGAGACUCCUUCAGGUUUCCAAAGAGGUCCGAGUGGACUGCAUUAGGAAAACUUGAAGAGUCUUUCACUUUUCAUCCUCCAGUCACUGACUGUGCUAUAAGGAUACUGUGGUGAGGUGGUAGCGGAUUCUCAGAAGUGAAGAACUAAAUACUCCAGAAGACUUUGAAUUCAGAGGGAAAGAUAAAACUGCUCAAAAGUCACAAGACUCUCUCUUUUUUUGCUGCUUGUCUUGGCAGUGCAUCUUGCCUUCAGCUUCAGAGUGGGAGUGAAAAACAUCUGCUUUCCUGAUCUCUUAUAGUCUAACAUAGAAUUUGAUGGACAGAAUGUUGGUACCAGCUAUGGAAGAGCUGUUCAGCCUCAACUCCAACUCUUGCACUGAGGUUUAAUAUCUUUUGAUACAACAAAGAACUCUAUCCUGAGACACAACUACAGGAUGUGCCUUGGAGAAGUAUUACUACUUAAUACUUAAAAAUAACAUUAAAAUAAAUUUGAAGGAAAUCAUGGAAAGGACAAGAAUGAAGGAAAUGAAUGAAGAAAUGACUGAAAGAAAUUUAUUACAUAUCAUUCAAAUGAAUCCCAACCAAAAACCUUUAGAAGUGCUCAACUGCUUACACAUUUAUUUUGACAUAAAUAACUGUGAAGUAUUUUUUUUUAAAUGAACAAUUGAAACCUAAUUGUUUCAAUCUUUUUCAAACAAAAAAAGUGUUAAUCAGAAC